GACGAACGCUGGCGGCGUGCUUAACACAUGCAAGUCGAACGGAAAAGCCCUGCUCUUGUGGGGUGCGCGAGUGGCGAACGCGGGUGUAACACGUGAGUAACCUGCCCUUGACUUUGGGAGAUCUUCAGGAAACUGGGGCUAAUACCGGAUAGGAGCUCCGGCUGCAUGGUGGGGGUGGGAGAGUUUCGGCGGUUGGGGAUGGACUCGCGGCUUAUCAGCUUGUUGGUGGGGUAAUGGCUUACCAAGGCGUUGACGGGUAGCCGGCCUGAGAGGGUGACCGGCCACAUUGGGACUGAGAUACGGCCCAGACUCCUACGGGAGGCAGCAGUGGGGAAUAUUGCACAAUGGGCGGAAGCCUGAUGCAGCAACGCCGCGUGAGGGAUGACGGCCUUCGGGUUGUAAACCGCUUUCGCCUGUGACGAAGCGUGAGUGACGGUAAUGGGUAAAGAAGCACCGGCUAACUACGUG
Molecule: ribosomal RNA, 468 nt
Filed under: uncultured bacterium
Lineage: Bacteria
Description: partial 16S ribosomal RNA
Rfam family: Bacterial small subunit ribosomal RNA
Source: RNAcentral